GACGAACGCUGGCGGCGUGCUUAAUACAUGCAAGUCGAACGGUAAGGCCCUGCUUUUGUGGGGUUCUCGAGUGGCGAACUGGUGUUUAACACGUGAGUAACCUGCCCUUGACUCUGUUAUAACUUCAGGAUACUGGGGCUAAUACCUGAUAGGACCUUCUGCUUCAUGGUGGGGGUUGGAAAGUUUCGGCGGUGGGGGAUGGACUCGCGGCUUCUCAGCUUGUUGGUGGGGUAGUUGCUUACCAAGGCUUUGACGGGUCGCCGGCUUGAGGGGGUGACCGAUAACAUUGGGACUGAGAUUCGGCCCAGACUCCUAAGGGGGGCAGCAGUGGGGAAUAUUGCAGAAUGGGCGGAAGACUGAUGCAGCAACGCCGCGUACGGGUUGAUGGCCGUCGCGUUGUAAGCCGCUUUCGCCUGUGACGAAGAGUGAGUGACGGUAAUGGGUAUAGAAGCACCGGCUAACUACGUG
RNAcentral lists this ribosomal RNA (468 nucleotides) under uncultured bacterium. RNAcentral's name for it is "partial 16S ribosomal RNA". It matches the Rfam family "Bacterial small subunit ribosomal RNA", at positions 28 to 507 of the family's 1533-position model. The record is from RNAcentral.